GGACGAGCAUAAGGCCACCUGGUGGUCAGUUAUUGACGUCGCUCAUGGACAUCAGCAAUGUCAGAACCACAACCAAGUCGAUGCUUACCGAAGGUUAUGCCUGAGGACGUUGCUAAGACUAGCCCGAGCAAGAGCAGUGCUUCGCAGAAUCUGCCACCGGAUCGGAAAUGCGACCCACUGAGAAGAUCCGGCGAGAAACUCAAUGGGCUGGUCUUAAUAUGGAAUCCAUAUAUGUACCUAUAUUAAAGAGAAUGUAUGUGUGUAUACAUAUAUGUUCACCUAAAAUUAUCUUAAGUAGUUAGUUCUGUGAAUUGUCUUAUGGCUUUUAUAUUUUAAUAUAAAAAUGCGAUUUCUUACGUAUACCUAAUAGAGAUUUCGAACCCAUAUCUGAAAGCGGGUGACGACUCUCACUAUAUUAUGUCUACAAGCAACGGUUACUUGGCAGCAGCUCAUUCGAAUAGUUCGUCGGUUCUUAUAAAUAAUUAAAAUCUUACUGUUAUUAUGGCGUCUUGUGAGUCCGCACGAGUAGGUACCAGCAACCUGCUUAUUCGUUUAGCGAAACAGUAAAACGUUCCAUUUUGAAGGGUGGGGCGGUCAUUGUGCUAUAGAACUAAGACUCAAAAGUCAUGUCUCAAGGUGGAUGCCGGGAUUCAUAAACAAUAUGAGCGCGGUGACCCAAAUUAAAACACAAAGUUGAAUGCUCAAUAAUUCUAAAACUACCGUUACACCUUUUAAGCCAUAAUGAAUAAUGACCGCUUCGUGGUAGAAAUUGGCAGGAUAUUCGUUCAAUUAAAACUAUUUUUCAGUAAAUUAAAGUAAUUUAAGCUUUUCUUUAAGUUUAAGCUUUGAUUCAUUUAAAAUAGAAAUGGAACAUGCGUAUGGAGAGUUAGGAGUGGGAUACGAUUGAAUGAGGAAACUAUUUCAUGGAGGGACCGCUAGUAGCCCAGGGGCUACAGAGCACGAGAACUGAUAUAGUAUUCUUUCGAGAGACAAAGUGGCUUAAGUUUUCUUGAGGUCCUCACAUCGUCAUACGGAGAAUACCCGAAACAUUCCGAUGAGAUAAUUAUCCUGGCCCUCAGUUCGAAAGCAUCGGUAUAGUUUAUUUAUUUUAUUUAUUGCUUAGAUGGGUGGACGAAGUCACGGCCCACCUGGUUUUAAUCGGUUAACGGAUCCGAUAGACAGCUACAAUGCAAAUGCCACUACCCAUCUUUGGACAUGAGCUCUAAGGUCUCAGUUUUUACAGAACUACGAUUGCCCUAUCCUUCAAAAUAAAACGCAGUACUGCUUCACGGCCGAAAUGGUGGUGGUGGUACCGGUGCGGGCUGACACGAUGCCCUACUACUAGUAAUUCUGAAUAUUUUUAUUUUUGCGAGUUUAAAUUUUAAUUACACCAUGAUAUUCCUUUUACAUAUGAUAUUCCUUUUUAAGCCACAUACUACUAUACUACUACUAGUCGUAUAGAGGGCAAGCGCGCCCUGGGCAGAACACCAGCCAGAUAGUCAGGUCUAGUAAGAGAAGCACUUGGUGGUAGUCUGUACCAUGCGGUCCGUGCCACCCAUGAUCGAACACAGUGGAAGUGGUCCACGUCACAUAUGGUCGCGAUCCUCAGUAGUGAGGGAACAAUAUAGAAGAGACUCUGGCGCAAAAUUUUAUGCUUUCCCAUAGAGGGGAAUAUCAUUCCUAAAUAAUUUCCGUAGUCUUUUCUUCGAAUGAAAAUAUCUAAAUAAAUUGCCUUCUAUUCUUUUUAGUACCUAAUAAAAAUACACAAAUUUUCCUCGUCGUAACCACAAACUUGCGGAAUUCGGGAUUUUGUUCAAAAUAUGUAUCAAUAACCUUGAAAUCAUUUACGUCACGCAUAGUCAAAUUGAACACUCGCAAAGAGUUUUUGAAGUGAAACUUCUUUAUCGGCGUUGGAAAAAAAUUUACCGUCACAUUUUUCGGUUACGCGUCACAUUUUUCCGUUACGCGCCAUCUUUUUUGUAUUCAUGUCUAUGAUAAUAAAAUCCUUUUGUUUAAACUUUAUCUAAUUUAACUUUUUUGUAUUCAUGUCUAUGAUAAUAAAAUCCUUUUGUUUAAACUUUAUCUAAUUUAACUUUAUUUAACCAAUUUCUAGAAAGUUGCAUGUAGAUCAUUUUUCGAAAAAUAAGGCCAUAAAGAAGUUUCACUUCUUACGUGUGUACACUAGUACACGCACACAUUUUUUUUUUAUGAAUUCUCUGAGCAUACCUAUUUAAAAAAAAAAGUUGAGUUGUGUUGUUGAGUAAAAUGUAUUUUUUUUGCACUCUCUGUGUAAAUACUAAUUGUAGUUCUUACUAUAUAAUGUAAAUCAAUUCAUAAUUUGGAUUUUGCAAGAAACCUUGAGCAUAACUUGUAAUAUUAUACAAAUAUUAUUAUCAUAUUGUAAAACUGCUGCGCAAGGAAUUGACAUUGACAUUACUUUGUACAGCUAUCUACUUCGUACAGUUGUUUCUCGUACCUACUUGCGUCAGUUCCUCAUUUACAUAACAGACAGUAAUAGAGUAACGAAACAUAUAGAGUAUAGACGGAGAACCUUCUCAUGGGUCGGUUAAAAACAAAAAGAAAAUGUUCUCGUAUAUAGGUAUAUGGGCGCAAACGCCACUAUUGGCAAUAACUAACAUAAUAAUAUAUAGUUUAGUUUAUUCUAUAUUAAUAUUUAUUUAUUAUUAGCAAGAUGAAACUGUUAUUCUACCAUCUAUACUAAUAUUAUAAAGAGGAAAGAUUUGUUUGUUUGUUUGUUUCGAAUAGGCUCCGAAACUACUGGACCGAUUUGAAAAAUUCUUUUUCCAUUAGAAGCCGACAUUGUCCCUGAUGAACAUAGGAUACUUUUUUUAAAUUUUUUUUUUUUUUUGGUUUCAUGUGUGUUUUAAUGUUUCCAAAGCGAAGCGAGGGCGGGUCGCUAGUAUCUAAUAAUUAGCAGACACUGUUUUGAUGUGAAAACGUUCAGAAUAUGUUUGAUGUGUAUAUCAUUGUUUAAAAACACAAAUGAGUGUAUAAAUAAUUAAAUAUGAAUAAAACAUAAAUAUUAAUAAUAAUUAUAAUUUAUAUUAUAAUUAACAGUAAUAAUUUAAUUAAUUAUUGUAAUUGUUAUGCAAUGAUGUUGUUGGCGCCAUCUAUUAUUAGGCUGGUUAAUAACAAUGUUAGUUUUUAAAUAAUAAUUAAAAAUAAUUUAAUUAUGUAAAAUAAAUUAAUGUCAGAGUCAUGUAUAAAUCACUAAAAUAUUUAUUGUGAAUAUUAAGCCAUAUUUUGUGAAUUGUUUCGCAGUAAUACAUUUGUUUGUAUAAAAGAAGUUGUAGUUACUACAACCAUCACAAAAUGGCUAAUUGUGUAAGAACCACUGAACAAUUAAGACAUGGCUUUUUCUUGUAAACAAGUAAUGUUAAAGUUUUAUAGAAUUC
Molecule: long non-coding RNA, 3416 nt
Organism: Bombyx mori (domestic silkworm)
Lineage: Eukaryota; Metazoa; Arthropoda; Insecta; Lepidoptera; Bombycidae
Exons: 2
Source: RefSeq, a predicted model, not a curated record